UAGUCAUAUGCUUGUCUCAAAGACUAAGCCAUGCAUAUGCAAGUAUAAGCACGAGAGACUGCGAAACUGUGAAUGGCUCAUUAAAUCAGUUAUAGUUUAUUUGAUAGUACAUGAGGUAGAUGGAUAACCGUGGUAAUUCUAGAGCUAAUACAUGCAAGGAGACCCGACUGGCGACGGGAGGGCAGUAUUUAUUAGAGAGCAAACCAAACGGGCGUUCCCUUCGCGGGGGGCGGCUGGAGUUGGGUGAGUCAUGAUAACACGGGGGAAUCGCAGGGGCCCCUUGAGGGCGGCGAUGGAUCAUUCAAAUUUCCGCCCUAUCAACUUUCGAUGGUAAGGUAGUGGCUUACCAUGGUUGCAACGGGUAACGGAGAAUUAGGGUUCGAUUCCGGAGAGGGAGCCUGAGAAAUGGCUACCACAUCCAAGGAAGGCAGCAGGCGCGCAAAUUACCCAAUCCUGACAUAGGGAGGUAGUGACAAUAAAUAACAAUGCUGGGCCCGUUUGGGUCUGGCAAUUGGAAUGAGAACAAAACAAAACUCUUAGCGAGGAACAAUU
RNAcentral lists this ribosomal RNA (552 nucleotides) under uncultured eukaryote. RNAcentral describes it as "bacterial SSU rRNA". It matches the Rfam family "Eukaryotic small subunit ribosomal RNA", at positions 21 to 549 of the family's 1831-position model. The record is from RNAcentral.